GUACGGGAGGCAGCAGUCGAGAAUAAUUCACAAUGGGGGCAACCCUGAUGGUGCAACGCCGCGUGGAGGAUGACGGUCUUCGGAUUGUAAACUCCUGUCAUCCGGGAGUAAGACCUGGGAGUGAAUAGCUCACAGGGUUGAUAGUACCGGAAGAGGAAGGGACGGCUAACUUCGUGCCAGCAGCCGCGGUAAUACGAAGGUCCCGAGCGUUGUUCGGAAUCACUGGGCGUAAAGGGAGCGUAGGCGGCGUGGUAAGUCAGAUGUGAAAUCCCGGGGCUCAACCCCGGAACUGCAUCCGAUACUGCCGUGCUUUGAGGGUUGGAGAGGUAGCUGGAAUUCUUGGUGUAGCAGUGAAAUGCGUGGAUAUCAAGAGGAACACUCGUGGCGAAAGCGAGCUACUGGACAACACCUGACGCUGAGGCUCGAAGGCCAGGGGAGCGAAAGGGAUUAGAUACCCGGGUAGUCCU
RNAcentral lists this ribosomal RNA (467 nucleotides) under uncultured bacterium. RNAcentral describes it as "bacterial SSU rRNA". It matches the Rfam family "Bacterial small subunit ribosomal RNA", at positions 339 to 797 of the family's 1533-position model. The record is from RNAcentral.